UUUGGCUUCGAUCGAAAAAAAACGUAUCGGACAUUUCCAUAACGCAAACGACUUGUGAUUCCCCUCUAUUAUAAAAUAAAGAUUGUAUUCAAAAACAAUUCAAAAAGUUACUUGCUCGCCUGACUGCUUAUCCUAUUUAUGAACUGGAUAAAGAUAAAACCUGAACAGGUUCAUUAUUGUUGAUAUAACCCAACACGUCAACUACUGGAAAACAAGAACAAUCAGGUCCAAAAUAUAGGGUUUCACUUCGCAAUGAACAAUAAUGAAUACGCAAAUAAAUGAUUUUUACCUUA
Schizosaccharomyces pombe (fission yeast) is the source of this 293-nucleotide non-coding RNA. The record is from the annotation of a GenBank genome assembly. Lineage: Eukaryota; Fungi; Ascomycota; Schizosaccharomycetes; Schizosaccharomycetales; Schizosaccharomycetaceae.